GUGGGUAUAGCUCAGUGGUAGAGCACGUGCUUAGCAUGUGUGAGUUCCUGGGUUCAAUCCCCCGUACCUAAU
RNAcentral lists this transfer RNA (72 nucleotides) under Camelus bactrianus (Bactrian camel). It matches the Rfam family "tRNA". From Rfam's summary of the family: Transfer RNA (tRNA) molecules are approximately 80 nucleotides in length. The record is from Rfam by way of RNAcentral. Lineage: Eukaryota; Metazoa; Chordata; Mammalia; Artiodactyla; Camelidae. RNAcentral also lists the same sequence under 2 other names.